AGUCGAACGGCAGCGCGAGAGAGCUUGCUUUUUUGGCGGCGAGUGGCGGACGGGUGAGUAAUAUAUCGGAACGUGCCCAGUAGCGUUGGGAUAACUACUCGAAAGAGUGGCUAAUACCGCAUACGAACCUACGGGGGAAAGGGGGGGAUCGCAUUGACCUCUCACUAUUGGAGCUUGCCGAUAUCGGAUUAGAAUAGUUGGUGGGGUAAAGGCUCACCAAGGCAACGAUCCGUAGCUGGUUUGAGAGGACGACCAGCCACACUUGGACUGAGACACGGCCCAGACUCCUAGGGGAGGCAGCAGUCGGGAAUUUUGGACAAUGGGGGAAACCCUGAUCCAGCCAUCCCGCGUGUAUGAUGAAGGCCUUCGGGUUGUAAAGUACUUAUGAGCAGAGAAGAAAAGGUAUCGCCUAAUACGGGAUACUGCUGACGGUAUCUGCAGAAUAAGCACCGGCUAACUACGUGCCAGCAGCCGCGGUAAUACGUAGGGUGCAAGCGUUAAUCUGAAUUACUGGGCGUAAAGCGUGUGUAGGCGGUUCGGAAAGAAAGAUGUGAAAUCCCAGGGGCUCAACCUUGGAACUGCAUUUUUAACUGCCGAGCUAGAGUAUGUCAAGAGGGGGGUAGAAUUCCACGUGUAGCAGUGAAAGGCGUAGAUAUGUGGAGGAAUACCGAUGGCGAAGGCUGCCCCCUGGGAUAAUACUGACGCUCAGACACGAAAGCGUGGGGAGCAAACAGGAGUAGAUACCCUGGUAGUCCACGCCCUAAACGAUGUCAACUAGCUGUUGGGGCCGUUAGGCCUUAGUAGCGCAGCUAACGCGUGAAGUUGACCGCCUGGGGAGUACGGUCGCAAGAUUAAAACUCAACGGAAUUGACGGGGACCCGCACAAGCGGUGGGUGAUGUGGAUUAAUUCGAUGCAACGCGAAAAACCUUACCUACCCUUGACAUGUCUGGACAGCCGAAGAGAUUUGGCCGUGCUCGCAAGAGAACCGGAACACAGGUGCUGCAUGGCUGUCGUCAGCUCGUGUCGUGAGAUGUUGGGUUAAGUCCCGCAACGAGCGAAACCCUUGUCAUUAGUUGCUACGCAAGAGCACUCUAAUGAGACUGCCGGUGACAAACCGGAGGAAGGUGGGGAUGACGUCAAGUCCUCAUGGCCCUUAUAGGUAGGGCUUCACACGUCAUACAAUGGUCGGGACAGAGGGUCGCCAACCCGCGAGGGGGAGCCAAUCUCAGAAACCCGAUCGUAGGGGGUUUUNCAGUCAAAAAUUGACGG
Molecule: ribosomal RNA, 1270 nt
Filed under: Alcaligenes sp. 259357
Lineage: Bacteria; Pseudomonadati; Pseudomonadota; Betaproteobacteria; Burkholderiales; Alcaligenaceae
Description: bacterial SSU rRNA
Rfam family: Bacterial small subunit ribosomal RNA
Source: RNAcentral